RNAcentral lists this ribosomal RNA (900 nucleotides) under Niallia nealsonii. RNAcentral's name for it is "bacterial SSU rRNA". It matches the Rfam family "Bacterial small subunit ribosomal RNA", at positions 1 to 890 of the family's 1533-position model. The record is from RNAcentral. Lineage: Bacteria; Bacillati; Bacillota; Bacilli; Caryophanales; Bacillaceae.
GGUCUUAGAGUUUGAAUCUGGCUCAGGACGAACGCUGGCGGCGUGCCUAAUACAUGCAAGUCGAGCGGACUUAAAAAGCUUGCUUUUUAAGUUAGCGGCGGACGGGUGAGUAACACGUGGGCAACCUGCCUGUAAGACUGGGAUAACUUCGGGAAACCGGAGCUAAUACCGGAUAAUCCUUUUCUACUCAUGUAGAAAAGCUGAAAGACGGUUUACGCUGUCACUUACAGAUGGGCCCGCGGCGCAUUAGCUAGUUGGUGAGGUAACGGCUCACCAAGGCGACGAUGCGUAGCCGACCUGAGAGGGUGAUCGGCCACACUGGGACUGAGACACGGCCCAGACUCCUACGGGAGGCAGCAGUAGGGAAUCUUCCGCAAUGGACGAAAGUCUGACGGAGCAACGCCGCGUGAGUGAUGAAGGUUUUCGGAUCGUAAAACUCUGUUGUUAGGGAAGAACAAGUACGAGAGUAACUGCUCGUACCUUGACGGUACCUAACCAGAAAGCCACGGCUAACUACGUGCCAGCAGCCGCGGUAAUACGUAGGUGGCAAGCGUUGUCCGGAAUUAUUGGGCGUAAAGCGCGCGCAGGCGGUCCUUUAAGUCUGAUGUGAAAGCCCACGGCUCAACCGUGGAGGGUCAUUGGAAACUGGGGGACUUGAGUGCAGAAGAGAAGAGUGGAAUUCCACGUGUAGCGGUGAAAUGCGUAGAGAUGUGGAGGAACACCAGUGGCGAAGGCGACUCUUUGGUCUGUAACUGACGCUGAGGCGCGAAAGCGUGGGGAGCAAACAGGAUUAGAUACCCUGGUAGUCCACGCCGUAAACGAUGAGUGCUAAGUGUUAGAGGGUUUCCGCCCUUUAGUGCUGCAGCAAACGCAUUAAGCACUCCGCCUGGGAGACCCACA